Molecule: long non-coding RNA, 410 nt
Organism: Sander lucioperca (pikeperch)
Lineage: Eukaryota; Metazoa; Chordata; Actinopteri; Perciformes; Percidae
Exons: 3
Source: RefSeq, a predicted model, not a curated record
UGUGUUCUCUAGCUAGCUAGCUACAUCCAUGAGCACAUGCCAUAACAGCGGGAGCACUUUCUAUAGUGUAAAAUCUUGGGGAAAUCACCAUAAAAUCUUCUCUAACGAAAACUACACAAUCAAACAUUUUCCAGCAGGAAUCCUAUCCAAAGUCGAGAAACAUUAACAGCGGCAUCCAAGAUUCCAGGUGUAAUGGCUCUAGAGCAGUACACAAGCUCCAAGAUGCCGACAGGGGCUAGGGGAAGUGUCAUCCAGUCAAUCCCAAAGAAGUCUCCCUCAAUCUUCCAACCAUGGGCCAUUGGUGGGGGAACAUCAGGCUGACUCUUCAGGGACCUUCUGUAUAUGGCUGCCUGAUCUGCAGAGAUGGCUUCUGAUGCUACCUGACCUAAUGUAACAUGGUAAAGAUGCUC